RNAcentral lists this ribosomal RNA (675 nucleotides) under Triticum aestivum (bread wheat). Its description in RNAcentral is "partial small subunit ribosomal RNA". The record is from RNAcentral. Lineage: Eukaryota; Viridiplantae; Streptophyta; Magnoliopsida; Poales; Poaceae.
AUGCUGUCAAAGGAGGAGUUCACCCAGACUGUGGUUACCCUUUGGUCGAUCUGGUUCGCAAAAAGAUAGGCAUUACAUGAGCACAUAUUUCAGAGCCCCCAAGCGACUCAUAAUUUCAUCAUGAAGUAUCUGAGAGAGUUGAAGGAGUGCAAACCCACCACAUCUCCAUCACGGACAGGGCCGGGCUAUGCCCAGCGCCCUAGCACGCCACCGACGGGGUACCACAAAAUUCAUGUUGAUGCCGCAGUUCGUCAGGGCAGGGGCGGCUCGGUUUCUACGGUAUGCAGGGAUGGCAAUGGGAUCUUCAUUGGCAGCUCAUCGUUGGUGGUCAUGGGGAUACAUGACCCAACCACUUUGGAGGCAAUGGCAGUUAGGGAAGCAUUAGCGCUUGCGGAAGAUCUGCAUGUACCCAAUAUGGUCAUUUCUUCUGACUGUAAGCAAGUCAUAGGAGACAUAAUGAAGGGCUCAUCCGAAAGAUAUGGCGCCAUCAUCAACGAGAUCAAACUGCAGUCAGCACCUUUUAACUGUAUUUUCAAAUUUGAGAGUCGUAGAGUAAAUUUAGAAGCUCAUAACUUAGCCAGGCAUUCGCUUACUCUUGGUCCGGGACGCCACGUUUGGUUUGGCCAAUCCCACAACCAAAGAUGUAUCCCACCCUCUGUGGUUUUUGAUGAAUAA